Molecule: ribosomal RNA, 429 nt
Filed under: Acidobacteriota bacterium
Lineage: Bacteria; Pseudomonadati; Acidobacteriota
Description: Acidobacteria bacterium partial 16S ribosomal RNA
Rfam family: Bacterial small subunit ribosomal RNA
Source: RNAcentral
UGGGGAAUUCUGGACAAUGGGGGAAACCCUGAUCCAGCCAUCCCGCGUGUGCGAUGAAGGCCUUCGGGUUGUAAAGCACUUUUGGCAGGAAAGAAACGUCAUGGGUUAAUACCCCGUGAAACUGACGGUACCUGCAGAAUAAGCACCGGCUAACCACGUGCCAGCAGCCGCGGUAAUACGUAGGGUGCAAGCGUUAAUCGGAAUUACUGGGCGUAAAGCGUGCGCAGGCGGUUCGGAAAGAAAGAUGUGAAAUCCCAGAGCUCAACUUUGGAACUGCAUUUUUAACUACCGGGCUAGAGUGUGUCAGAGGGAGGUGGAAUUCCGCGUGUAGCAGUGCAAUGCGUAGAUAUGCGGAGGAACACCGAUGGCGAAGGCAGCCUCCUGGGAUAACACUGACGCUCAUGCACGAAGGCGUGGGGAGCAACCAGG